RNAcentral lists this ribosomal RNA (468 nucleotides) under uncultured bacterium. RNAcentral describes it as "partial 16S ribosomal RNA". It matches the Rfam family "Bacterial small subunit ribosomal RNA", at positions 28 to 507 of the family's 1533-position model. The record is from RNAcentral.
GACGAACGCUGGCGGCGUGCUUAACACAUGCAAGUCGAACGGAAAGGCCCUGCUUUUGUGGGGUGCUCGAGUGGCGAACGGGUGAGGAACACGUGAGUAACCUGCCCUUGACUUUGGGAUAACUUCAGGAAACUGGGGCUAAUACCGGAUAGGAGCUCCUGCUGCAUGGUGGGGGUUGGAAAGUUUCGGCGGUUGGGGAUGGACUCGCGACUUAUCAGCUUGUUGGUGGGGUAGUGGCUUACCAAGGCUUUGACGGGUAGCCGGCCUGAGAGGGUGACCGGCCACAUUGGGACUGAGAUACGGCCCAGACUCCUACGGGAGGCAGCAGUGGGGAAUAUUGCACAAUGGGCGGAAGCCUGAUGCAGCAACGCCGCGUGCGGGAUGACGGCCUUCGGGUUGUAAACCGCUUUCGCCUGUGACGAAGCGUGAGUGACGGUAAUGGGUAAAGAAGCACCGGCUAACUACGUG